GGCAUUUAUACUGGUGAGACAAAACUGUUGUUACGGGAAGGAGAACAGAUCACAGCACACGCACUGUAGUGCAGCUGCCACUUCAUAUAACACCAUUACAUAACCGUCAUCCACAGAUACAGGAUGAUAAAUGUUUGUAGAACAAUUACAACCUCUGAUAGAAGGACCUGUUCGUUUGUAAGGUGUUUGAUAUCUUUGACUCC
Long non-coding RNA from Bombina bombina (fire-bellied toad), 203 nucleotides. RefSeq lists it as uncharacterized. The record is from RefSeq and is a predicted model, not a curated record. The transcript is spliced from 3 exons. Lineage: Eukaryota; Metazoa; Chordata; Amphibia; Anura; Bombinatoridae.